ACUAGGGAAGUCUAAUGGUCACGACGCCGGAGAGGGUCUGCAUUCAAAGAAGAAGAAGAAAUGUGCGAUAUUAUUCUACCGGAGAUGCCAGUUCGAAUCUGGCCCCUAGCA
Non-coding RNA from Hypoxylon cercidicola, 111 nucleotides. Lineage: Eukaryota; Fungi; Ascomycota; Sordariomycetes; Xylariales; Hypoxylaceae. The record is from the annotation of a GenBank genome assembly.